AAGAACACUGUUCUUGAGACUGUUCCUUCUCUCAUAUAACUUGAAACCUUGUUUCUUUGGUGCUGUUUUGAUUGGAGGUAUGUUGAAGUUUCUUGUUGGAUGUUGAGGUAGAUCUUGAUUUGGUCUUGUUGUGGUUGAGGUUGUUGUUGUUGUCGUUGUGGUGGUCGAGGUUGUUGUUUCUGAUGAACCUGUUAACAUUUGAACAACUUGUUUGAAAGUUGUUGUAUCAGCUUGAACAAAGGUUGUAGGGUAAGGAUUUGAAUCAGAUCUAGGGAUUGUUUUUGG
RNAcentral lists this long non-coding RNA (285 nucleotides) under Lathyrus oleraceus (garden pea). RNAcentral's name for it is "Pisum sativum (pea) long non-coding RNA (PSAT_LNC022217)". The record is from RNAcentral. Lineage: Eukaryota; Viridiplantae; Streptophyta; Magnoliopsida; Fabales; Fabaceae.